Portunus trituberculatus (swimming crab) is the source of this 477-nucleotide long non-coding RNA. RefSeq lists it as uncharacterized. The transcript has 3 exons. The record is from RefSeq and is a predicted model, not a curated record. NCBI's taxonomy places the organism in Eukaryota, Metazoa, Arthropoda, Malacostraca, Decapoda, Portunidae.
GGUACCUCUGGCCUGGCCUUCAUGAGUGCUUCAGGGCUGCAGGCACCUGUUCUUAAUACAUAGUCAGUGUUGAGGGCCAGUGUGUUGACCCAGUGGCCAUGGCCUUGCAGUGUACGGCACAUCACACCCUGAAGAAAAUGACUGAAUUAGUUUCAGAAGUCAGGAAAACAACCUAUGAGGCCAAAAUAGCACACCUGUAGCAGGCACUCACAUCAGUGGCUCUCCAGACUUUGAUGGUUCUGUCCUGAGAGGCAGAGUACAAAAGCCCCUCACCACUCCAACGUAAUGCUGUCACACUUUGUAGGUGAUUGGACAGUAUCUGGUGGAAAAUAUCUCAUUGAGCCCAAGCUGGUGUUCCAAAUCCUCACAUCGCCAUCCUUCCCAGCAGAGGCCAAGCGUGUGCACUUCCCCGAUGCAGCAAGGUGGAGUGGCUCCCAGCAUAGAGAAGUGAUCCAUUGCUUGUGGCCAGUCAAUGUU